GAUGAACGCUGGCGGCGUGCCUAAUACAUGCAAGUCGAGCGAACAGACGAGGAGCUUGCUCCUCUGACGUUAGCGGCGGACGGGUGAGUAACACGUGGAUAACCUACCUAUAAGACUGGGAUAACUUCGGGAAACCGGAGCUAAUACCGGAUAACAUGUUGAACCGCAUGGUUCAACAGUGAUAGACGGUCUUGCUGUCACUUAUAGAUGGAUCCGCGCCGCAUUAGCUAGUUGGUAAGGUAACGGCUUACCAAGGCAACGAUGCGUAGCCGACCUGAGAGGGUGAUCGGCCACACUGGAACUGAGACACGGUCCAGACUCCUACGGGAGGCAGCAGUAGGGAAUCUUCCGCAAUGGGCGAAAGCCUGACGGAGCAACGCCGCGUGAGUGAUGAAGGUCUUCGGAUCGUAAAACUCUGUUAUUAGGGAAGAACAAAUGUGUAAGUAACUAUGCACGUCUUGACGGUACCUAAUCAGAAAGCCACGGCUAACUACGUG
RNAcentral lists this ribosomal RNA (497 nucleotides) under uncultured bacterium. RNAcentral's name for it is "partial 16S ribosomal RNA". It matches the Rfam family "Bacterial small subunit ribosomal RNA", at positions 28 to 507 of the family's 1533-position model. The record is from RNAcentral.